UUUGUGAGGGGGAGGUCCCUCAGCCCAGAUGGAGAGAGGGUGCAGGCCAGGCCAAGGGACCCCACCGGUGCACA
Molecule: microRNA precursor, 74 nt
Filed under: Myotis lucifugus (little brown bat)
Lineage: Eukaryota; Metazoa; Chordata; Mammalia; Chiroptera; Vespertilionidae
Description: mir-9193 microRNA precursor family
Rfam family: mir-9193 microRNA precursor family
Source: Rfam by way of RNAcentral